This 88-nucleotide transfer RNA is filed under the name Crocodylus acutus (American crocodile). Its description in RNAcentral is "partial tRNA-Glu". Lineage: Eukaryota; Metazoa; Chordata; Crocodylia; Crocodylidae. The record is from RNAcentral.
CAUUAUUCUCACUUGGACUCUAGACCAAGACCUGGGGUACGAAAAACCCCCGUUGUAUUUUCAACUAUAAAAACUAACACUAAACCAA